This 253-nucleotide ribosomal RNA is filed under the name uncultured bacterium. Its description in RNAcentral is "partial 16S ribosomal RNA". It matches the Rfam family "Bacterial small subunit ribosomal RNA", at positions 524 to 776 of the family's 1533-position model. The record is from RNAcentral.
UACGGGGGGGGCAAGCGUUGUCCGGAAUUAUUGGGCGUAAAGCGCGCGCAGGUGGUUUCUUAAGUCUGAUGUGAAAGCCCACGGCUCAACCGUGGAGGGUCAUUGGAAACUGGGGGACUUGAGUACAGAAGAGAAGAGUGGAAUUCCACGUGUAGCGGUGAAAUGCGUAGAGAUGUGGAGGAACACCAGUGGCGAAGGCGACUCUUUGGUCUGUAACUGACGCUGAGGCGCGAAAGCGUGGGGAGCAAACAGG